This 88-nucleotide small nuclear RNA is filed under the name Eremothecium gossypii FDAG1. Its description in RNAcentral is "FAgSNR76". Lineage: Eukaryota; Fungi; Ascomycota; Saccharomycetes; Saccharomycetales; Saccharomycetaceae. The record is from RNAcentral.
CGGGCGAAGACGGGCAAGCAACAGCGGGCUCUGGACGGAAAUGACGAGGUACAGCACUGGGCACUGAACGGCAUGAGUGACAAUGCUU